UCCGGUUGAUCCUGCCGGACCCCACUGCUAUCGGGGUGGGACUAAGACAUGCUAGUCGUGCGCCUCCAAGCCACGGUGGAGGCGCGGCGCACAGCUCAGUAACACGUGGCUAACCUACCCUUGGGACAGGGACAACCCCGGGAAACUGGGGCUAAUCCCCGAUAGGUGAGGACUCCUGGAAUGGGUCCUCGCUGAAAGGGCGUCUAGACCAUGCUUCUAGACGCUGCCCAAGGAUGGGGCCGCGGCCGAUCAGGUUGUUGGUGAGGUAACGGCUCACCAAGCCUAAGACCGGUACGGGCCGUGAGAGCGGGAGCCCGGAGAUGGACACUGAGACAAGGGUCCAGGCCCUACGGGGCGCAGCAGUCGCGAAACCUCCGUAAUACGCGAAAGCGUGACGGGGCCACCCCGAGUGCCGUCCGCUGAGGACGGCUUUUCCCCAGUGUAGACAGCUGGGGGAAUAAGGGGAGGGCAAGUCGGGUGUCAGCCGCCGCGGUAAUACCCGCUCCCCGAGUGGUGGGGACGCUUAUUGGGCCUAAAGCAUCCGUAGCCGGCUGGACAAGUCCCCUGUUAAAUCCAGCGAUUUAAUCGCUGGACUGCGGGGGAUACUGUCCAGCUAGGGGGCGGGAGAGGCCGGCGGUAUUCCCGGGGUAGGGGUGAAAUCUUAUAAUCCCGGGAGGACCACCAGUGGCGAAGGCUGCCGGCUGGAACGCGCCCGACGGUGAGGGAUGAAAGCUGGGGGAGCGAACCGGAUUAGAUACCCGGGUAGUCCCAGCUGUAAACGAUGCGGGCUAGGUGUUGGCACGGCUACAAGCCGUGUCAGUGCCGCAGGGAAGCCGUUAAGCCCGCCGCCUGGGGAGUACGGCCGCAAGGCUGAAACUUAAAGGAAUUGGCGGGGGAGCACCACAAGGGGUGAAGCUUGCGGUUUAAUUGGAGUCAACGCCGGG
RNAcentral lists this ribosomal RNA (944 nucleotides) under uncultured archaeon. RNAcentral describes it as "bacterial SSU rRNA". It matches the Rfam family "Archaeal small subunit ribosomal RNA", at positions 1 to 922 of the family's 1478-position model. The record is from RNAcentral.